RNAcentral lists this ribosomal RNA (248 nucleotides) under uncultured Actinomycetes bacterium. RNAcentral's name for it is "uncultured actinobacterium partial 16S ribosomal RNA". It matches the Rfam family "Bacterial small subunit ribosomal RNA", at positions 28 to 276 of the family's 1533-position model. The record is from RNAcentral. Lineage: Bacteria; Bacillati; Actinomycetota; Actinomycetes.
GAUGAACGCUGGCGGCGUGCUUAACACAUGCAAGUCGAACGAUGAAGCCCAGCUUGCUGGGUGGAUUAGUGGCGAACGGGUGAGUAACACGUGAGUAACCUGCCCUUAACUCUGGGAUAAGCCUGGGAAACUGGGUCUAAUACCGGAUAGGAGCGUCCACCGCAUGGUGGGUGUUGGAAAGAUUUAUCGGUUUUGGAUGGACUCGCGGCCUAUCAGCUUGUUGGUGAGGUAAUGGCUCACCAAGGCGA